This 280-nucleotide long non-coding RNA is filed under the name Lathyrus oleraceus (garden pea). RNAcentral describes it as "Pisum sativum (pea) long non-coding RNA (PSAT_LNC010694)". The record is from RNAcentral. Lineage: Eukaryota; Viridiplantae; Streptophyta; Magnoliopsida; Fabales; Fabaceae.
AAUUUUGACACAAAAGGCAUAACAUUCUAGUUAGUGAGAUUGUAAGUCUCCCAUCUUUCAUGGUAUUGUGUGGAAACUUUUCCUUUUUUCCUUCCUUUGGAAGAUGUCUUGGUUCAAGGAUUCAUGCUUGUGAUAAGUGGGUUGAGUGUUCUCCAAAGAAUGACUUAAAAAAAAAAAAAAAAAAAAACAAUACUAACUUCUAACUCAUUAACAACUAAUUCAUGCUUGUGAUAAGUGGGUUGAGUGUUCUCCAAAGAAUGACUUAAAAAAAAAAAAAAAA